RNAcentral lists this ribosomal RNA (497 nucleotides) under uncultured bacterium. RNAcentral's name for it is "partial 16S ribosomal RNA". It matches the Rfam family "Bacterial small subunit ribosomal RNA", at positions 28 to 507 of the family's 1533-position model. The record is from RNAcentral.
GAUGAACGCUGGCGGCGUGCCUAAUACAUGCAAGUCGAGCGAACGGACGAGAAGCUUGCUUCUCUGAUGUUAGCGGCGGACGGGUGAGUAACACGUGGAUAACCUACCUAUAAGACUGGGAUAACUUCGGGAAACCGGAGCUAAUACCGGAUAAUCUUUUGAACCGCAUGGUUCAAAAGUGAAAGACGGUCUUGCUGUCACUUAUAGCUGGAUCCGCGCUGCAUUAGCUAGUUGGUAAGGUAACGGCUUACCAAGGCAACGAUGCGUAGCCGACCUGAGAGGGGGAUCGGCCACACUGGAACUUAGACACGGUCCAUACUCCUACGAGAGGCAGCAGUAGGGAAUCUUCCGCAAUGGGCGAAAGCCUGACGGAGCAACGCGGCGUGAGUGAUGAAGGUCUUCCGAUCGUAAAACCCUGUUAUUAGGUAAGAACAUAUGUGUAAGUAACCGUGCACAUCGUGACGGUACCUAAUCAGAAAGCCACGGCUAACUACGUG